AGCUCCUUUAACAUGGUUGGAGCCACAAUCGAUGUUCAAUUUAGAAUCAUUAAACCUCGAUGUGCAAUCACGCGCACCUUAUUUAUGCAAUCGCAGUUACCUUAUUCUCACUGAAUAAAUCUCACGAAGAUCGAAUUUCAGAGAGAACAUCGAAACUUUGGAGAACUUGAAAUCGUAAUCUCUCAAUUGUUAUUCACGGUGAUUAUUCUUCCUUGCCGAGUGCGAUUCGUGACUUAAAAGCAAAGGACAAAGCGAGAUGGAGAAUAAGACGUUAUAAAAAUGCCAAACUGGACGAUACGGAAUAAACCAUUCGCUGUAGCAAGUAUUGAUUUAAAAGCUAUUGACAAUCCCGAAUACACUUGGGUAUGCUAUUCGACGAAACUUUUCUACUUUCUUACGGUGUAUACAAUCCAAUUUUUACCAUUGGAAGUUACGAAUGUUUCGACACAAAUAAGAAAGAACCGCCCGAAGAUGAACAGUAAAUCACCGAUCAUUCGUUGAAUUGCGAAGCUUAUCGUUAUUGAAGUCUUUGCGAUUUAUAGGACCGAGCAAUCGAGCGAACAAACUCGGUGUAUCUAUCUGGUAUCCGAUAAUAAUUCAUGCCCUUUCGUGACCAGUAAUAUGAGGGACUUGUCGGCUGCGUGCACACUGUGAUACGCGUACAUCUACUCACGACACAUUUCAAUAAAUUUACGUGCCGACGAUGGCGCGACCGCGUGUGCGUACCCAAUAUACAUGCGUCCGUGGAAUAACGGAUUUAUGAUGUAUGGUGUGCAAUAACAUGACGAACUGACGUUGCAGGAAUAAGAGCAUCUCGUAAUAUGAUUUUCUUCGCGAACAGAAAACGACGCUACAAUUUGAUGAAAUAUGGCCAGUAGGGCAGGAGGGAGGGAGAAGGAAAGGAAGAAUUUUAUUUGUAGUUAUUUCUUUCGACAAAAACAUCAAACGUAGAUUAAAUUAGGAUCUCUCUCAAGCUGUACAGAUUGACUUAUAUGAUAUAUAUUGAUAAAG
Cataglyphis hispanica is the source of this 1011-nucleotide long non-coding RNA. RefSeq lists it as uncharacterized. The record is from RefSeq and is a predicted model, not a curated record. NCBI's taxonomy places the organism in Eukaryota, Metazoa, Arthropoda, Insecta, Hymenoptera, Formicidae. The transcript has 3 exons.